Molecule: transfer RNA, 69 nt
Filed under: Dipodomys ordii (Ord's kangaroo rat)
Lineage: Eukaryota; Metazoa; Chordata; Mammalia; Rodentia; Heteromyidae
Rfam family: tRNA
About the family: Transfer RNA (tRNA) molecules are approximately 80 nucleotides in length.
Source: Rfam by way of RNAcentral
GGGCUUGUAGCUCAUGUGUACAGCACCUGCCUAGCAAGCAGGAGGCCAUGAGUUCAAAUCCCAGGACCA